Molecule: ribosomal RNA, 497 nt
Filed under: uncultured bacterium
Lineage: Bacteria
Description: partial 16S ribosomal RNA
Rfam family: Bacterial small subunit ribosomal RNA
Source: RNAcentral
GAUGAACGCUGGCGGCGUGCCUAAUACAUGCAAGUCGAGCGAACAGACGAGGAGCUUGCUCCUCUGACGUUAGCGGCGGACGGGUGAGUAACACGUGGAUAUCCUACCUAUAAGACUGGGAUAACUUAGGGAAACCGGAGCUAAUACCGGAUAAUAUAUUGAACCGAAUGGUUAAAUAGUGAAAGACGGUUUUGCUGUAACUUAUAGAUGGAUCCGCGCCGCAUUAGCUAGUUGGUAAGGUAACGGCUUACCAAGGCAACGAUGCGUAGCCGACCUGAGAGGGUGAUCGGCCACACUGGAACUGAGACACGGUCCAGACUCCUACGGGAGGCAGCAGUAGGGAAUCUUCCGCAAUGGGCGAAAGCCUGACGGAGCAACGCCGCGUGAGUGAUGAAGGUCUUCGGAUCGUAAAACUCUGUUAUUAGGGAAGAACAAAUGUGUAAGUAACUAUGCACGUCUUGACGGUACCUAAUCAGAAAGCCACGGCUAACUACGUG